UUCCGGUUGAUCCUGCCGGAGGUCAUUGCUAUUGGGGUCCGAUUUAGCCAUGCUAGUUGCACGAGUUCAUACUCGUGGCGAAAAGCUCAGUAACACGUGGCCAAACUACCCUACAGAGAACGAUAACCUCGGGAAACUGAGGCUAAUAGUUCAUACGGGAGUCAUGCUGGAAUGCCGACUCCCCGAAACGCUCAGGCGCUGUAGGAUGUGGCUGCGGCCGAUUAGGUAGACGGUGGGGUAACGGCCCACCGUGCCGAUAAUCGGUACGGGUUGUGAGAGCAAGAGCCCGGAGACGGAAUCUGAGACAAGAUUCCGGGCCCUACGGGGCGCAGCAGGCGCGAAACCUUUACACUGCACGCAAGUGCGAUAAGGGGACCCCAAGUGCGAGGGCAUAUAGUCCUCGCUUUUCACGACUGUAAGGCGGUCGUGGAAUAAGAGCUGGGCAAGACCGGUGCCAGCCGCCGCGGUAAUACCGGCAGCUCAAGUGAUGACCGAUAUUAUUGGGCCUAAAGCGUCCGUAGCCGGCCACGAAGGUUCAUCGGGAAAUCCGCCAGCUCAACUGGCGGGCGUCCGGUGAAAACCACGUGGCUUGGGACCGGAAGGCUCGAGGGGUACGUCCGGGGUAGGAGUGAAAUCCCGUAAUCCUGGACGGACCACCGAUGGCGAAAGCACCUCGAGAAGACGGAUCCGACGGUGAGGGACGAAAGCUAGGGUCUCGAACCGGAUUAGAUACCCGGGUAGUCCUAGCUGUAAACGAUGCUCGCUAGGUGUGGAACAGGCUACGAGCCUGUGCUGUGCCGUAGGGAAGCACGAGAACGAGCCGCCUGGGAAGUACGUCCGCAAGGAUGAAACUUAAGGAAUUG
RNAcentral lists this ribosomal RNA (863 nucleotides) under haloarchaeon sech4. Its description in RNAcentral is "bacterial SSU rRNA". It matches the Rfam family "Archaeal small subunit ribosomal RNA", at positions 1 to 867 of the family's 1478-position model. The record is from RNAcentral. Lineage: Archaea; Methanobacteriati; Methanobacteriota; Halobacteria; Halobacteriales; Halobacteriaceae.